UGGCGGCAUGCUUAACACAUGCAAGUCGAACGGUAGCAGACCGCUGGGAUCCCUUCGGGGUGACCUUGGUGCGUGACGAGUGGCGGACGGGUGAGUAACGCGUAGGAAUCUGCCUGGCAGCCGGGGGACAACUCCGGGAAACCGGAGCUAAUACCGCAUACGCCCUACGGGGGAAAGAUGGGGAUCUUCGGACCUGUCACUGCCAGAUGAGCCUGCGUUAGAUUAGCUUGUUGGUGGGGUAAUGGCCUACCAAGGCGACGAUCUAUAGCUGGUCUGAGAGGAUGAUCAGCCACACUGGGACUGAGACACGGCCCAGACUCCUACGGGAGGCAGCAGUGGGGAAUAUUGGACAAUGGGCGCAAGCCUGAUCCAGCAAUGCCGCGUGUGUGAAGAAGGCCUUAGGGUUGUAAAGCACUUUCAAUUGGGAAGAAAAGCAUAGGGUUAAUACCCCUGUGUCUUGACGGUACCAAUACAAGAAGCACCGGCUAACUCCGUG
This 496-nucleotide ribosomal RNA is filed under the name uncultured bacterium. RNAcentral's name for it is "bacterial SSU rRNA". It matches the Rfam family "Bacterial small subunit ribosomal RNA", at positions 37 to 507 of the family's 1533-position model. The record is from RNAcentral.